Nicotiana attenuata is the source of this 616-nucleotide long non-coding RNA. RefSeq lists it as uncharacterized. The record is from RefSeq and is a predicted model, not a curated record. Lineage: Eukaryota; Viridiplantae; Streptophyta; Magnoliopsida; Solanales; Solanaceae. The transcript has 3 exons.
CCAAGUAGUGGCCUAUGUGUAGAAUCGUGGCCCAUCUGGAAUAUUGAAGGAAAUUGUGGUCGUUUCUAUCUUGUGAAGAAUGGGAUUGAUGUGUUUAGAAGCAGUAGGAAUCAUAGCUUGCGUGAUAGGCAAUGCUCAGUAUUUCAUCCACAAAGCAGCCCAUGAUUAUGGAGAUGCUAUCUGAUCCUUCAUCUGCACCUUCUAAUUAGGCGCCUAUGAAAUUCAGGACCUGUGGGAAUAAGGAAAAUGUCUUAAACUUCUCCUUGGGUGAACUCAUGUUGGGAGGACUUUCCAUCAGUUUUCUUCCUUCACUUGAUGGUUUGUCUGCGGCCGAUGAACCUUAAACGUUAAGGUUAAUUGAAUUUCCCAGAAAAAUAACAGAACAGCGUUGAGCUAAAAGAUUGUUGUAGAAAUUAAUAUUUUUGGCCUGGUAUGCUUGGUAAUUUGGUGAGGUUUUGGUUUUUAGUUGGACUUGAUAAGAUUAUGGCAAACCAUAUUACUGAAGGUCCUGAACUGCUACUUAACAUCAGUUUCUGUUUAAAUGCGUCAGUAGAAAUUGAAGUGAAAGUCGGCCCCUGUAGAGGGUUAUAGAAUGGUGUUUGAAAGCUUGCUCGUA